Non-coding RNA from Schistosoma mattheei, 46 nucleotides. Lineage: Eukaryota; Metazoa; Platyhelminthes; Trematoda; Strigeidida; Schistosomatidae. The record is from Rfam.
GCACUGCUGAGGAGUCCCACAAUAGGACGAAACAGUCGUCCACUGC